Cyanistes caeruleus (blue tit) is the source of this 2799-nucleotide long non-coding RNA. Ensembl annotates it as meiotic kinetochore factor. The record is from Ensembl. NCBI's taxonomy places the organism in Eukaryota, Metazoa, Chordata, Aves, Passeriformes, Paridae.
UAAUCAGGUGACUGUCAGAGAAACAACAGAUUUCAAGAUAAAAGAAAAGGAACAAGAAGAAAGAAGUGUACCACUGAAGGAAUCCAAAAUAAUCAACUUUGAAAGUAAAGGAUGUUUGAAAAACGCUGAAGUGACGUCAAGUACAGAAAUUACUCUUCCCACAGGUGUUUCCACCUUUCUGAUAGAUUGUUUAGAUGAAGAUUCAGCUGCAGAUUAUAGCACUGCUAGCAACAGCCUGAAGACUUAUUCAUCCCCUGAAACAUUCAGAAAUGACAGCCUGAAGACUUAUUCAUCCCCUGAAGCAUUCAGAGAUGAUGAUUUGGGUGACACUUUUGGAAAGAGGCAAUUUUUACUCCAUGGACCUUGGCAAGUACAAGAACUCUACUCUCCUGGACUCCAGCAAAGCAGUGACCAUAGAUAAGAUACCACAGAUCUCAAAUCUUUCAGCAAUAUUAGAACCUGUACCAGAGGAUUUUCCAGACCGAUGCGUGGCAAGAAAGAGAUCAUCAAAUUGCUAUUACAGUUCUUCAGCAGUAAGCAUUUCAACUACACUGGCAGGAAAAAAACUCUGUAAAAUAACAGCUGCAAGAGAGAGAACUCCAGACCUAAAAAGUGGUAUGCACUGUUCUUCACCAUUAGGACCGGAAAGCAAGCAUGAUAAACAAACAGCUAAAACCAAAAGGCGGAAGAAAGGAAAAAGCAGUUUUAAUUCCUUAGAAGAAGGUUCAUCAAUGUUUAGGCAGCUUGAUGCUCCAGAAGACACGUCAGUCAGAUCAAAGGGGUUGACAGCAGAAGUUCUGCCAACCAAAUGCACAGAUGCUGUGGAGUUUAGCUUGUCGCCGGUGUAUAAAGCCUCACCUGGGGAAGACCUGUUCCUGAAUACCACAGGUCCAUUUGUAAAUUCAGAAGAAAUUGGUCCUGUGUCUCUGAGCUCAGAAAAAGAAAUUAUUCCUCAAAGUCCAGAAGAAAAGAAUAUUUUAAAGCCUCUGUGUGACAGACAAGAAAUCUGCUCCAUUGUUAGAAUGUCACCAGGCCAGAGGCCUUCCCAGCUCCAGCAAGUUCCAAUUAACUGGAAAGAGUUCUGCCUUCCCAAAGGAGUACCUGAAGAUACUAUUACAAGUACCAAAAAUUGGAUCUACUGUAAACAAAGAUGAGAUUUUUGGCUGUCAGCAGGAGUUCACAGAAGAAAUGACCGUCUUGCUGCUGUGGCAGGGUGGUAAAACAGAACUCCUAACUAGUGAAUAAUGGUUGUAUUUUUUUUUUUUAUGUAUGUUGUUUGAAAUUUAGUAUUACAUGUUUCAGUAAGCUAGUAAAUACUCAAAUACUUUAUAUUAAAUUAUUUUGUACAGCAGCUAGAUCCUGUUCUGGGCAUUAUUCUGUAAGGAUUCCAUAAAGAUGAUUCUUCAGUUUGUUUAGAUUUUUAAAAAGUGUGACUGAAGACCAGCAGACCAAAUUGCUUUAAUAGAAUUACUUUUGUCUCUCUCUCUGCCAAGAUUUCUUGUUUCCUCUAGUAGCAUUAGCAUCUACAGAUGUUAACUCUUUAAGUGUUAAUAUUGGCUAUGAAGGUAACUGCAUAUCCUAGAAGUGACUAUGAAAGCAUUCAUGUACUCUUGGGGACCCAGAAGUCAAUGUAUGUCACCACUGAACUCCUUGAAUGCUUAGAUCUACAGAACUUUGGAGGUACAGAACUGUGUGUUCUGCUGUAAUUUGAUUUCUGAACAUGAAUGCAGGUCACCUUCACCCCAUCAUCACUCUGAAUUGGCUCCUAAUGAUCAGCACUGUCACCAUUCUGGGCACAUCCACUGCCCAGCCAUUGCCAUUUCAGAGUCCUUCUUGUUUCAUCUCAGGUAUGUUGUAAUACCACAUCUCUCGGUCAUUGUUUCUUCUAGUGGCUUCAGACUUAGAUAAAGUAAAUGCCUUACAUGAAUGCCCACAAUGGUGGGAAAAACCCUUUAAUAGCUGAACUGUUUGAUGAGAUGCAUAUUGACAUUCUGGAAUUUCAGGUUACUGCUCACACUGUGUCCACACAAGUCAAAUUCCCAGGGCUUCCUGUUCAGCUUGUGGAUUGUUAAUUCAUAAAUGUUGUUCUUAAUGUGCUGAAUGUCUCAGAAAACAUUGUCAAAACCACAUUUUUUUCCACUAGAAUUCAUUACACAUUAAAGUAAUUUGGACUCCUACAGUGUUCUUACUACAAUCCUUUACUCAGAUUUUAUCUGAACAAAAAGGAAAUUUUUCAAUGUUUCAGAAUGCUGGUAUGGCUUUCAAAAGUCUGAGUUUGUUUCUCAGUGUUAUCAGCCUGGAAAAUAGUUUUGUAUUUCCAAAAAGAGCAUGACAGGAAGACAUACAAAAUCCACAACUGUAGUUUGCAUUUGAAAAUACCUGUGAAAGUUCAAACCCUGAUCUUUUCUCCAUUGCUCUGGGGUAGAAGGAAGUGCAAAUAAUUGCUGCUGGAUUAGUUUGUGAACAAGUAUUAUAUAAACAUUCUAAAUGGCUCACGGUUAAAAAUUAUGCCAUUAAGCUAUUUUUCUUUUAAGCAUUAGUAGAAUGAGUUCUGCCAAUAACUCCUUGGAGUCCUGUCAGGUAUGCUUUUAAUUAUCAAUAUCCUUGUUCUUGCAAGUCUACUAAAGUCACUAGUAAUUAUGCGAGAAUCUAGAGCCCCUAGGAGACAGAGGUGAGCUCCUUGAUGUAGCUUUAAGCAAAAUUGAAGGUUACAUAUUUAGUAAGUUGUGCUCAUGAUGAUUAUUCAAGUAAAAGAUGGUCCAGAAUAAAGAUAUGUUUAUUGUAAGGGUAUUCUGGAAG